GAACUGAAGAGUUUGAUCAUGGCUCAGAUUGAACGCUGGCGGCAGGCCUAACACAUGCAAGUCGAGCGGCAGCACGGGUACUUGUACCUGGUGGCGAGCGGCGGACGGGUGAGUAAUGCCUAGGAAUCUGCCUGGUAGUGGGGGAUAACGCUCGGAAACGG
This 161-nucleotide ribosomal RNA is filed under the name Pseudomonas syringae pv. actinidiae. Its description in RNAcentral is "partial 16S ribosomal RNA". It matches the Rfam family "Bacterial small subunit ribosomal RNA", at positions 1 to 159 of the family's 1533-position model. Lineage: Bacteria; Pseudomonadati; Pseudomonadota; Gammaproteobacteria; Pseudomonadales; Pseudomonadaceae. The record is from RNAcentral.